This is a non-coding RNA of Musa acuminata subsp. malaccensis (wild Malaysian banana), 1192 nucleotides long. The record is from RefSeq and is a predicted model, not a curated record. NCBI's taxonomy places the organism in Eukaryota, Viridiplantae, Streptophyta, Magnoliopsida, Zingiberales, Musaceae.
GAGAGAGAGAGGGUUCUGUGAUGAUAUAUAGGUCGGUUUGGUAAUUGUAAAAAGGAAAUGCUACUGAUAAGUGUUGUCUAUAAAAGAUAGCAGUGUGCAAGUAAUAAAAUGCUUCUGUUCUGCUUGCUUGGUGUUUGCAGCACUUGCAGUAGUAGCAUUAACUUCUCUCGUCACCGAACUACUUGUUUGGUUGCUCCAUAAUUAGCAUUGCUGCUUAAAUGGGAACUCUGUAAUAGUACAAAGCUGCUCGUUUAUUACCAGCAGCAAAGAGUACGAUGAAAGUUCCUGUCACACUCAAAAAUUGUCUUCUCUGUGUCCUCUGCUUGAGCUUACAGACAUAAUUCUCCCAAGAUUGUGGGGAAUUGCUAGCUACAGCUUCAAGUACAGAGCAGUCUUGGUUCCAAGCAAUGAAGCCUUGACACAAGAAGAUGGAGUUGGAGGACACAAAGUCUUCAUCGCACAGUGAGGGAUAUCCAAGAACUCCAACAUGAGUAUCCCCGUCGUACUACCUAACUUUGACUCGAAAGACGUUUGUCUCCCAACGUCCACUAUUUCUUAGUGGUAGGAAGACCUAGCAAGUGUCCAUGGGACUUCCAGUUAACGAAGCUGCAGAGAAGGGUCUUGUGCAUAUAUAGUUAAUAGCUUUAUACACAUAUAUAUAUGGUCAUGGCGAUCUCUAUAUACUUGUCAUUUGAUCUAGAUUAUGAAGUAGUCGAAGCAUAUCACAGAUGCAAGAAACUGCCAUCACACUCACCUGUAAAAGACGUCUAAUCCUUGCAUCGAAGAAACUGGCAUCAGGUCAGAAGUCGAAGGAUGAACCAAUGCAAUGUCUAUGGGCUGUGCUUGGAUUCGGCCUCUCGUGUAACCUUUUCAUGUGAGCCCAAGUACACCAUAUUGGCCGAAUAAAAAUGAUUCCUGUACGUCACCACCUUUAAUUGCUGGCUUGACAAAUGGUGGUCACUCACUGCCUCAAAAAGGUCAUGGUGGAAGUCAUCACUGCUACAUUGUGCGCCACGGCUGAGAAGACGGCGUCUUGUUUCAUCCCAUUGGAUUUCGCAUACGACGGUCACAGCAGUAAUCCUGUCGAUCACCAAUCACUCGAUAAAAAUCUACAGUAGCCAGAGACGACAUCUUGAUGACAAGUACCGAUCCUCACAGGCACGAUGGGGUGAGCUAUCACUGAACUGCUUAA